CUUCUUGUUGUGGGGAUGUAUAAGUACCCUGCCACUUCCACUGUGAGUCUGUUCAUAUGGUGUACUGUUACUACACUGUUCCUUGUUAGAUGGAGGUUAGGGUGCCUGCUUAACAUGUUUAACUCCCCUCCCCAUUCUGUAUGAAUGUAUCAGGCCGUUAGUUUUCUUGUUUGAGUUGUUUUACAUUGUCAUUUCAUGGCCUUUUACAUCUGACUUUGCAGUAAUGUGUUUAAUCAAUGUUGAGGGCUGUACGGUGAUCUAGAGUUGUUAAUUUCAUAGUCAUUUGGUCUUUUGCUAGAGUUGUAGAAUUAGCAAUCAUACCACAUCUUAUUUUCAUAUUACAUUAUAUUUACAGAAAAUAAACACUGCUUUUAGAUGUCAAUAUUUUUAUUCAUUACUCAUUAUAUAAAAACAAUUAAAGCUACUACAUGUAACCUAGAGACACUUUUAAAGUGUAACAAACAUAUACAUCUUACUUUGCUAACAAACAAAAUUUGCAUACUUUAAUAAUAAAAUGGUUAAUUUUUUCACACAGUUAUUGUAGCUUGUUAUAAAGCUAUUAAACAUGUAUACACCAAAGAAUCUUUUGUUACAUACUCAGCCAAUACAAUAGCAAAUGUCCUUAGCUGUCUUAGCUCUUAAUUUAAAAAUAAUGACACAUUUAUACAUAUUUAAAUUCUUAUUUCAAACUUAAAAUGUACUUCCAAAUUGAUUUGUUUAUGGAAAAAGAAGUGAGUUUAGUUUGUAUACAGGGUCUUUGAGAGUUUGGAUGAUUCACCUUUUAUCUUUUCCACCAUAUUUGUUUGUGACAGUGGCCAUGACUGUAUCAUGUAAUAUUUAUUCCAAACUUUGGUUUUAGAAUCGUAGACUCUUAUAACAAUUGAGCAAGACAUCCGUUGAAGUUGGAAAUAAAGUAUGUAAAUACAUGUACAGUAGUCAUUACGUAAUACUAUAGUAUAUAGAAUGUACUGAUGAUAAAUUACUACUCAGUAAAAAGUACUCAUACAUCACAUUGGUCAAAUCAUAACUUCACGUAAAAAUCUAGUUUUUGAACUGAUGUGAACUAAAGUAGUGUAAUUUUAGAAAAAAAAUUCUUGACACAGUUGUUGUAAAUUGAAUACCAUCUUUCUCUUAUAAUUGACACAUUUCAUAUAUAUAGCACCAUCUUCAAUAAUCACAAAUAAUAUUGGAUGCUAGUACUAGUGUAAAAACGUUUGUCUCUAAAAACACCUGGCGGGUUGGAGGCCAUCAUUGGGUGUCAGCACUUAUUUUUUACUUUUGCAAAUUAAUGAUAAUGAUAGAUUUUUUUCUUAUCAUGUUCUCUUCAAAAUAUCAGUGAUUUCAUGCAAAAGUUUGCUUAAAAAUACAUUCCAUUUAUCAUUACUAUAUCAAAGCAUCAAUUUUUUUUUUACAGUAGUUUUAUUUAUUUUAAUAUAUUGCAUACUAUGAUUCUUGCAAUUGAAAUAUUUGUUCAGUAUCAAGUGAUAAGUUUUUGUAAACACAUAGGAACAUAUGAGACAGAAUGUUAUUUGAAUUGAUAUUUUGUAGGUAAUCAUUAGAAUCCUUAUUAUUAAUGCUAUAUACUGCUCGACACAAACUUCCUAUUUAUAGGAAAGAAUAAAGAUGUUUUCUUAUGUCAAUAAAAAUAAUAGUUGACAAUUUUGGAAGGAACUAAGAUUACACAGGGUAAUAUUCUGUAAUGGGGUAUUCCUAUAUUAAGACUUGUAAAAUAUAUAUUUUUUCUCUAUUUCUCCAACAACCUUCAACACAGAUUAUUUAUAUUGGACAGAAUGUUUGCACUUAGAAUGAUACAGAUCACUAGGUUUUCAUCUUAACAUUCUGCAAGGCUCAAAUACACCAUAGCACUACAUUAAAACACUAUCAGACUGUCACUUUAAGCCACUAAUUUGCAUUCAACAUUGUGCAAUAUUUUGUGUAAUAUAAUCAAUGUAAUAUAAUGUAAUACCAUGAAAUGAUCAAUGUAAUACAAUGUAAUACAGUGUAAUGAUCAAUGUAAUGCAAGAAUAAUCAAUGUAAUACAAGAAAAAUCAAUGUAUUACAAUGUGAUACAAGAAAAAUCAAUGUAAUACAAGAAAAAUCAAUGUAUUACAAUGUGAUACAAGAAAAAUCAAUGUAU
This 2137-nucleotide long non-coding RNA is filed under the name Mytilus galloprovincialis (Mediterranean mussel). The record is from RNAcentral. Lineage: Eukaryota; Metazoa; Mollusca; Bivalvia; Mytilida; Mytilidae.